This is a long non-coding RNA of Callorhinus ursinus (northern fur seal), 720 nucleotides long. RefSeq lists it as uncharacterized. NCBI's taxonomy places the organism in Eukaryota, Metazoa, Chordata, Mammalia, Carnivora, Otariidae. The record is from RefSeq and is a predicted model, not a curated record.
UCACCGAUAGUCUUGAACAUUUUUAAAACACAGUAGGCUUUUAAGCUUAAGCCAGAGUGAAUGGUAAAGGAAAUACCAUCCAUGUGGUGAAACAUCAUCCCAAACGCCCUGCAACAUUUACUAACUCACUGGCUCUGUGAACUCAUUAUUGUUGCGAGAUCUGCCAUUAAUUUUCAAGUCCAUGUUUUGGAGAGAAAACGCAUUUACACAAUUACAAGAGUCCAAUAAUUGAUCUUCUAAGUUAAAACUGGACAUACUCAGCUGUCAGGUACCUGAAGCAAUGCUAGAUUAUGAAGUGUGUAAUGAAGAAAGAAAACUAAAGACGGAUUCAUCCUGACCUUGGAAAUUUUCAGUAAACCUUUGGGAAACUGCCGUGGUCUGGUCACAUCUCUGCUGUGAGGUUGCUUUUGUCUUCUGAGACCUGAGUUUAUAGGAAUCACUGGUUCAAGAGAGAGUGGGACCCUGAGAGAGCAGAACUUGCUGAAGGAGCUUGAUGCACAGGAGAGGUUAGCAAGGUGCCUAGUGAGCUCUCUGAAGGGCAGAGGGUCAUCUUGCUUCAAGUUCCAGAAGAAUAUGUUUCCUCCCAUGGAAGUGAACUAAAGAGCACCAUCCAGAAGAAAUCAGGACUCAUUGGUGGGAGGUUCCAAGGCUCAAAGACAUUUGGCAGCAUUGUCAAUAAAGACGUUCAAGUCAGAAGACUAGAUCUUGGCUUAUCUUCAA